RNAcentral lists this RNase P RNA (297 nucleotides) under uncultured Alistipes sp. RNAcentral describes it as "Bacterial RNase P class A". It matches the Rfam family "Bacterial RNase P class A", at positions 34 to 352 of the family's 367-position model. From Rfam's summary of the family: Ribonuclease P (RNase P) is a ubiquitous endoribonuclease, found in archaea, bacteria and eukarya as well as chloroplasts and mitochondria. Its best characterised activity is the generation of mature 5'-ends of tRNAs by cleaving the 5'-leader elements of precursor-tRNAs. Cellular RNase Ps are ribonucleoproteins. The record is from RNAcentral. Lineage: Bacteria; Pseudomonadati; Bacteroidota; Bacteroidia; Bacteroidales; Rikenellaceae.
GCAAGGGGAGAGGAAAGUCCGAGCAACACAGAGCACCGUACAAGUUAACGGCUUGAUGUCCGUGAGGGCAUAGCAGCGUAACAGAAAACAACCGCCCGACGGGUAAGGGUGAAAAGGCGGGGUAAGAGCCCACCGCGAAUGCAGCAAUGUACUUCGGCAGUACGUCUUACGGGUUGCAAGGUUAUGUAUAUCGGCAAUUAAGGGUUGCUCGCCCGAUGCCGAGGGGUAAACCGCUGGAAGUCGCAGGCGACUGCGAUUGUAGAUAAAUGAUGGACUAAAACAGAACUCGGCUUACGG